CGAUGGGGUAGAGGAGCAGGAUUUAUGAGUAAUCUGUGUGAGGAUGACAACUGCGAUCACAGAUGAAAGGGAAUCACUGCCGAAAUGGUAACAAUCAGUCAGGGUUUUAUCAUUGGGGUUAUCUUUAAGAAGGAUAACACUCUCUUUCCGCAGCAGUUUUGCGGGUUGAGGAGCUACAGAUCGU
This 184-nucleotide non-coding RNA is filed under the name Jeotgalibacillus malaysiensis. RNAcentral describes it as "Lysine sequence". It matches the Rfam family "Lysine riboswitch aptamer". Rfam says of the family: Riboswitches are metabolite binding domains within certain messenger RNAs that serve as precision sensors for their corresponding targets. Allosteric rearrangement of mRNA structure is mediated by ligand binding, and this results in modulation of gene expression. Lineage: Bacteria; Bacillati; Bacillota; Bacilli; Caryophanales; Caryophanaceae. The record is from RNAcentral.